This 465-nucleotide ribosomal RNA is filed under the name Vreelandella stevensii. Its description in RNAcentral is "partial 16S ribosomal RNA". It matches the Rfam family "Bacterial small subunit ribosomal RNA", at positions 338 to 795 of the family's 1533-position model. Lineage: Bacteria; Pseudomonadati; Pseudomonadota; Gammaproteobacteria; Oceanospirillales; Halomonadaceae. The record is from RNAcentral.
CCUACGGGUGGCUGCAGUGGGGAAUAUUGGACAAUGGGGGGAACCCUGAUCCAGCCAUGCCGCGUGUGUGAAGAAGGCCCUCGGGUUGUAAAGCACUUUCAGUGAGGAAGAACGCCUGGUGGUUAAUACCCAUCAGGAAAGACAUCACUCACAGAAGAAGCACCGGCUAACUCCGUGCCAGCAGCCGCGGUAAUACGGAGGGUGCGAGCGUUAAUCGGAAUUACUGGGCGUAAAGCGCGCGUAGGUGGCUUGAUAAGCCGGUUGUGAAAGCCCCGGGCUCAACCUGGGAACGGCAUCCGGAACUGUCAAGCUAGAGUGCAGGAGAGGAAGGUAGAAUUCCCGGUGUAGCGGUGAAAUGCGUAGAGAUCGGGAGGAAUACCAGUGGCGAAGGCGGCCUUCUGGACUGACGCUGACACUGAGGUGCGAAAGCGUGGGUAGCAAACAGGAUUAGAUACCCGUGUAGUC